GGCAGACUAUUGCAAAAAGGGCACGGGGCAGAGGGACUAUGUUGUGAGCCUGCGAAAGAAGUUUGUGUGGGGACUGUGGGCAGUGAACGCGUUGGGAACAAUAUGGAAAACUGGGAGCCGCCUUGGAAUCUACAGGGCCGGGCUGAAGAAAAGAAGAAUGGUAUUCACGCAGUUCCCAUUUUACAGAUGAAAACAAGAGGACUUUUUCUGUGAAGUCAAGAAAGUGGUUACAAUGGUACUUUCAGCCUGUCCGAAUUAUGUAUUGCCCCUCCCCUUUUUAUUAAUAACAUUGAAGUGUGAUGGGACAACCACUGAAGCCGUCAGUUGAAACCUGCUGGGACUUUUUAGCCAUUCUCUUCAACAUAAAGAAUGGGUGUUUUUGGAGGGGGUGAGAGGAAUGGGGAAAUGUUGUCAAAGAGUACAAUGUUUUAGUUGAGACAGGAAGAAUAUAUUUUGUUGAGAUCUACAGCACAGCAUGGUGACUGUAGUUAACAAUGAAGUAUUGUGUAUUUCCAAAUUGCUAAGACAAUAAAUUUCAAAUGUUCUCACCACAAAAAA
This 558-nucleotide long non-coding RNA is filed under the name Homo sapiens (human). RNAcentral's name for it is "HSALNT0305235". Lineage: Eukaryota; Metazoa; Chordata; Mammalia; Primates; Hominidae. The record is from RNAcentral.